UACGGGGGGGGCGAGCGUUGUCCGGAUUUACUGGGCGUAAAGCGCGUGUAGGCGGCGAUUUAAGUCCGGGGUGAAAGGCGGGGGCUCAACCCCCGAGCGGCAACGGAAACUGGAUCGCUUGAGUGUCGGAGAGGGGAGUGGAAUUCUCGGUGUAGCGGUGAAAUGCGUAGAGAUCGAGAGGAACACCCGUGGCGAAGGCGGCUCCCUGGCCGAACACUGACGCUGAGACGCGAAAGCGCGGGGAGCGAACGGG
RNAcentral lists this ribosomal RNA (253 nucleotides) under Candidatus Pacearchaeota archaeon. Its description in RNAcentral is "partial 16S ribosomal RNA". It matches the Rfam family "Bacterial small subunit ribosomal RNA", at positions 524 to 776 of the family's 1533-position model. Lineage: Archaea; Nanobdellati. RNAcentral also lists the same sequence under 1 other name. The record is from RNAcentral.